Molecule: ribosomal RNA, 468 nt
Filed under: uncultured bacterium
Lineage: Bacteria
Description: partial 16S ribosomal RNA
Rfam family: Bacterial small subunit ribosomal RNA
Source: RNAcentral
GACGAACGCUGGCGGCGUGCUUAACACAUGCAAGUCGAACGGAAAGGCCCUGCUUUUGUGGGGUGCUCGAGUGGCGAACGGGUGAGUAACACGUGAGUAACCUGCCCUUGACUUUGGGAUAACUUCAGGAAACUGGGGCUAAUACCGGAUAGGAGCUCCUGCUGCAUGGUGUGGGUUGGAAAGUGUCGGCGGUUGGGGAUGGACUCGCGGCUUAUCAGCUUGUUGGUGGGGUAGUGGCUUACCAAGGCUUUGACGGGUAGCCGGCCUGAGAGGGUGACCGGCCACAUUGGGACUGAGAUACGGCGCAGACUCCUACGGGAGGCAGCAGUGGGGAAUAUUGCACAAUGGGCGGAAGCCUGAUGCAGCAACGCCGCGUGCGGGAUGACGGCCUUCGGGUUGUAAACCGCUUUCGCCUGUGACGAAGCGUGAGUGACGGUAAUGGGUAAAGAAGCACCGGCUAACUACGUG